UUGGGGAUAUAGUGAUGGUUAAGAAACCAUCCCUUUUCUCGACCAGAAAUUUGGCAGCUGCAGGUAUCUUUAUUGUGAGAGUGGUUUUAGAGGCAACCUUAGGAGCAAGCAUCGAUCUCGACAUUCCAUUCUUUGGAGAAGAUGUUCCGAUAUGUUAGAGAGCACGAUAAGCAUAUUGAGCUCAAAUCUUGAGUUUGUAAAACUUUAAAGAAAAUUUUUACUUCAAUAUAGUAUCAAAACUUAGUUUUGUAGAAUGUUUCUGAUUCGACCCUCUUUCUGUAAUUUAUAUUAAUGUGAUGCAAUGUCGGUUGGUCCCUCUCUCCACAAUUUAUAUUUUUCCUAAUUGCUUUUGUUAAAUAUGAAUCCAAAUUCUCGUCGACGGGAACCAAAUUCUAUCAAUCCUAUAUUCUAUUUUUCAAUCGGUUUCAAUCACUUUAGUGUAUUUUCUACUAUUCAUUGUAUGUUUCUUAUUUGUAGAGCAAUGUUUCUUCUAACAAGAAACCCUUUUAGAAUGGUCUAAGAGACAUUUUCCCUAAUCUUUAGUCUAUGUUUGGGGAGAGCCGUAAAUGUUGAAUAUUCCAAGCUCAGUGAGGGCAUCCAUUGACCCAAAGAUCUGGGAGAGGGGGAAAGCCUACUCUAUAGCUGCUGCAUGUGUUCAUAUGGAUAGACAAUACUAAAAGAAAAAUAAAUAAAAUAAAAUAAAAAUGCAUAAAAACAAUUACAUAAAAGACGGGGAUGUCAAGGAUUAGGAACUUUUAUAGAAGACAGAUAUUAUGUCAUUUUUUAUUACUUUAAAAAAAAUUUAAAUUUGAUGUAAUAUCAUCGAUUUCUACAAGUCAUUACUUUUUAAAUUUAAACUUGUAAAAAUUAUUGUAUUUUUAUAUAAUUUUUUUUUUUUUAAAGAGAAAAUAUGAAAUAUAUCCAAACACAGCCAUGACCUAGACGUCUCGAACUUAAUUAGACUUUUCAAAGAACUAGCACGCUAUGUUAUUGGACCAAUUUUCAAACAAAGUGACGUGGCAGGAAGGCUCUUCCUCCCUUCCUUCCUUCUUCCCCUCCUCAAUCCCUCCUCUAGCUCCCUCCAUCUCAAACUCCCCAGUCUGCUGAAAAAAAUCCUCCCUCCCUUCUCGGCCAGACACUCCCCUCCUGCUUGCCCGGAAUAUCUCCUUUUUCGUCACAAACCACCAGAAAAUUGGAGAAUAUCCCUCCCCACGUAUCACUCUGUGGGUAGCCCUGAAAAAACCAUUCCUCCACUUUCUCAGCAGAAGGCGUCUCCUGCCAGCUGCCAAAAUGUUCCCCUCAAGAGUGAGAAAAUAUGGACAGCCGCCAAAAUGUCCACCUCAAGGUGGUCCUCAAGAGUGAGAAAAUAUGGAGCCUAAAAUAAUGGUCCACAAAUAUGAAGAUCUUUGGUAUUUUCUUUUAUAUUUUUUAAAGUCAUUUUUUAUUUAUCAUUUUGCAUAGUAAUUAAAUAUAAGAAAUUUAUUUAUUUUAAUGUUCUUUCUACUUUCAUCAGAAUUAAUUUUGAGCAUGCAACAUAAGUAAUCCCAAAAAUAAAAUAAAAAUAAACUAUUAAUUUUUCAGCUUAACAUAUAAAUUUAUAUAAUUAAAGAUUUUAUCAAAAAUGAACAUAUAAAAAAUCUCUUUUAUCAAAAAAUAAACUAUUUGUUUAUUGAAUAUGAAUCCACCAUAUUUGUGAUUUGUAUUUCCUCCAUUUAUUUGUAAAAUACGAAUUCAAAUUCUAGCAAUCUCCCAUCAUAUUUUUCCUACUUCCUAUUUAUGGAGUCAUGUUUAGUCUAUUUAAAAAUCUCUUUUCUUUCAUCAUGAUUCCAUAAGAACCACUUUUGGUAUAUCAUGAUUCCAACAAGAACCACUUUUGGUACGGUAUAAGAGAUCAUUCUCAUGAUCUUUAGGUUAUGUUUGAUUCUGGACAAAGUAUUAAGAAAAAAAAAUGUUUAGUCAUAGAAAUUAUUAAGAAAAAAAAAUAUUAAAAAAAAUUAUUUUCUUAUAUUUAGUUUUUAUUAUGAAAUAUGUCAAAAAAAAAUCAAAUAUAAAUAAAAUUAUUAAAAAAUUUAUAUAUUUUUAAAUUAUUUAGUUUUUAUAUAUAAGAGUUAUAUACAUGAAAAGUUUGAAUAGUAUAUAAAAUAAUUUAUAGAUAUUAAAUCUAUUUUUUUUAUUGAGAGAAUCCUGUGAAACUUCACUAAUAAAAAAUAUAUAUAUUUUUAAGAACUUUUAAAAAGUAAUUUUAUAAACAUGAGCUCCAAUAGUAACAUGAACAAAAUUUCAAAAUUGUCCUUAAACUUUUCUAUCUUCCAUAGCUUGUCAUUUGAAAAAAAUUGGCAUACGAGCUAUCAACCAUCCCACAAUUUUUUUCCCCCUUGGUUUUACCUUUUUGACUUUUUUAUAAUAUGCUAAUUAUACAUUCUCAUAAAAUAUCUUUAAUUUCAUUUUUUUCACUCUUUCAUCUUUUGAUUUUAAUUAUUUAUAAACACUUUAAAUAUACAAUAAUAAUAAUAAUAAUAAUAAUAUAAUAUAUAAUUAAUGAGAAAAAAAUAAUAUAAAGUAAAUACAUAAUAAACAAAUUUAGCUUUUUAUGUAACUUCACACUGUGGUUUUUAACUUUUUUUGUUAAAAUAUUUAAUAUUUUUAAUUGAAGAAAAUAAAAACUUGGUUGUAGUUCUACCAUUUUGAUUUGUUAAAAUUUUAAAUAUUUUACUAUAUCAAAUAUAAAAUAAAAUAUAUUUUUCAUAAAAAUUUUGUAUUUAAUCAUUUAUAUUAAUUUUCUCUUAAUUUUAUUAAAAAUUAAAUUUUUUAUCCGUCUUAUCAUAAAAUAAAGAAGAGUGAUAUAUCAUUGUGACUACAAUGGUAGUUUUAACCCACUUACUUUUUCUUUUUCUUUUUUUCAUAAAAAGAGUGAUAUUUUUUUUUCUAAAAAACCAAAAAAGGAUAGUACAACAUUCCCAUCCUGAUAUACUUUUAACAAAUUUUAGUAUUACUUUUUUUUAUAUAAAAGAGCAGUAUCAUUUUUUUCCAAAAAAGUGUGGUGUCAUUUUUUCCAAGGGUUAUGUCCAUCGAUGCGCAAUUUCAAUAUGCAAACAUUUUAAUUUUUAACAAAAUUAAGAUAAAAUAAUAUAAAUGAUUAAAUAUAUUUUUUAAUGAAAAAUAUUAAACAUUUUAUUGAGAAAAAUGUUAAGAUCCAUUCUAAUUUUCAUACAAAAAAAAGUAGAGGUAGUAUGGAGGAGAAAAAAAAAAAGCAAAAAGAAAAUUCAUGUGGGAUGGUUGGUUGCCAUAUAUCAAUUAUAUAUAUAUAUAUAUAUAUAUAUAUAUAUAUAUAUAUAUAUAUAUAUAUAUAUGCCGGAUCUUACAGGAUGGUUUUGACAUGUUAAUGAUUUUAGGGAUUAGGGAUUAGGGUUUUAAGGUGAAAACACAUUUGGAAAAAAGAAAUAAUGUUGAAUAUUCCCAAGGAAUUCAAUGAAAUUACAAACUUUCAUGAGGUAAAUAACAUGAUGUGUUUCAACUUUAUCUCUUUGCAUAGAAGAUGUGUUUAAUAUAAACCAUAAUCUCGGUGAACACUCAACACAUUAGGUUGGAUUGCUGCUAGUUCUCUUAAGCCAAGGGCUAAGCCAGCCUGUUGGUCAGUUUUGGACAUAAAAUUCGAUUUGGGAGAUAGGAAUUGCAUGCAAGAAUUUUCGGAUACUUGUCCUAAUCCUGUUAUAUCUUGUCCUUAAUAGGAUGAAUUUGGGAAGAAAAAAAAAAUUAAAAAGUUUAAUUUGAGAUAGGUUAAAGUAUGACUUUGUCCCACUUGAAUUAUAUAUAUAUAAUAUUUAAAAAAUAUUUUAAUUAUUUUUUUUAUUUUUCACUUUUUUAAAACAUAUACAAUAAAAAAAAUAUUCAUAAAAAAUAAAUAUUUACUUAUUUAUAAAUUAAUUUAUUUUUAAUAUAAAUUAAAAAUUUUAAAGUUGAAACAACUUGAAAAAAUAAAAAAUAACAACAAUGAACAAAGUAUGGCAAAUAUAGAUCAUCAAUCCCACCCCAUCAAAAUUUUCUUUUUGAUUAAGUAUAGGAAUAGAAAUAAAUAAACAGGAUGUGAUCAAGAUAGGAAUGACUUGUUUCGAACCCAUCCUAUUACCAUCUAAGCACUGCAACAAAUUGGGGUUUUAACAUGAACUAAUUUGUGAUUAAAAGAAAGCAUUUCAUGGUAAAAGAGUUCUUCCCAUAAAAAGUUAUUUAUGGUGAGUUCACUUACAUAAGUUUAUGAGUAAUUAUUUUUAACCAUAGAAAUGAUAUUUGUAAUUGAAAGAUGAACUUAGUAAAAAACAAUCAAAAUCCCUGUUAUUUUACACAAGAGAUGGGACCAAACCACACAAAAGACAAGCAAGGAGAAGCAGAACUUAUUUCUUUAUUUUUGGAUAUACAAAAACAUUGAAGAGUAGCAUCUAAAUAGUAGUCAUAAUUCUGAUAGAGCAUUCCUUUCCAAAUGUUGUCCACAAACUUUGCUAGCUUUAGCUUAUGACUCAAUUACCACCUAGGGUUGGCUAUGACCACCUUAGAGAGAGAGAGAGAGAGAGAGAGAUGAGAGUUAAUUUAAAUCAACAAAAAGAAAACGUACUACCUCACCAAGUUAAAUACCAAUAUGAGCUUAAAGACUUGCUCCUCUAGAGAAGCAAUUCUAUCAAUGUUCAUUACACUUAUUAGACAUGUCUAGAACUACUAGUUGAAUCCUCCUUUUACCACUUCUCUUGUGUGCUCUUCUUCCAUAUACUCACAUACAUUGUCCUUAAAGAUAAAAGAAUAGAAAAACUGUUUAGUUUAUGAAAAGUUAAGAAAAUAUGAAGAAAAGAAAAUAAAGAGAAAAAGUAAAAAGAAAAAAUAAAUAAAUAAAUAAAUAUAAAGUCAAUAUAUUGUUUGUAUAUCUUACUUCAAAUUCAUUUCAUUUAUUUAACUCUUUUACAUAAAAAUUAAAUAAUUUUAAAAUAUAUAAGUUUUUCAAUAAUUUUAAUUAUAUAUAUAUAUUUCGUAUUUUUCAAGGGAAUCAAACAGAGUUGAAGGGUCGUUAGAACUUAAGUUGGUUAUCACAAAGGUAUGAUAAGCUAUAUAUAUUUUCACAAGGUAAAACGAAAGCAUAAAUAUUAAAAUAAUGACAACCAAUUGCAGAAGAAACAUUACCUUUUAACUAUAGCAUCCAGCUGCAUAUCCACUCGUUACUCACAAGGAGCAAUAAAAGAUAAAUUCACAAGAAAAGUUCAUAAAAGGCAAACUUACAAAUAUACCAGAACUAAGAAAUUGAGAAAAAUAUAUAAGUUCAUACCAACUGGAUAAGGACUUUACAACCUAAAAACCUAUAUUUACUUGCAAUAAGGCAAAUUGUCCACCAAAAGAGUCAAGAAUCCUUCUGCUUGUUCAUCUAAGCCAAUGAUCACUACAUCCAAAAACAAAUAAAAUAAUUAUGGGAUUAGAUGAAAUCAUUCUUUUGUUGAAAAUUCUAAAUGAAGUACCAAAAAAAAAAAAAAAAGUGAAAAUACCUUAACACACCGAUAAUGUUGGGGUAACAAAAGUUUUGAUACCGCUUGUUGCAUAUGUAGAAGUUUUUUUGAAAGAAUAUAAAAUAAAAUCAUUCAUAUAUAAAGGUAGAUAAGGUUUUAAUAUAAUUUAACUUAUCAUACAUAUCUAUACCUCUAUAGAUGAGAGAUAACAUUUUACUAUAAAAUAAAGAACAUUAAAAAGGACAAAUCAAAUCAGAUAAAAAAUAACAUUCCACUAUACAAUAAAGGAUAAUUCAACAAAUAAAUCAAAAUAUAUAUAAUUAUUAGGGAGAAUUAUGUUUUGGGGGUAGAUGGGCCCCCAAAUUAACAAAAGGUCCAUGUACCUCUUCAAAUUGAGCCCAAGACCCAAUGAAAGUAGGGAAAUUGAGUUGAAGGAUAUCAUCCUUCAGUAUUUCCAAAAAUGCCCUUUGUUGAUUUUGAGAAAAAAAAUUAAUAUUUUUAAAAAAUACUUUUAUUUAAUUUAAUAUUUUAAAAAAAUACUUUUAUGUAAUUUAAUACUUUUUAAAAUACUUUUAUUUAAUUUAAUAUUUUUAAAAAAUAAAUUUAUUUAAUUUAAUAUUUUUUUAAAAUAAAUUUAUUUAAUUUAAUAUUUUUUAAAAAUAAAUUUAUUUAAUUUAAUAUUUUUUAAAAAUAAAUUUAUUUAAUUUAAUAUUUAAUUUAAUAUUUUUGAAAACUACUUUUAUUUAAUUUAGUAUUUUUGAAAAAAAAAUUAUUGAAAAAAAUUAUUUAACUUAAUUUUAUAAAAUAUUUUAUAUGUGUUCUUAAAGGGUAUAUUUGUCCGUUACUAUUUCAUAUCCUUCAACUCAAUUUGAAGAGUUAUAUAAACUUUUUGUUAAUUUGGGGGCCCAUCUACCCCCCAAAAGAUAAUUCUCCCUAAUUAUUAAGUCCCAAAAUAUCCUACAUUUCCUUACUUUUAUAUUUUUACCCUAAAUUAAGAGUCAUUUUGCUUCAUUAGGUACUUUUUACUCUUCUUUAUAUUUACCCAAUAAUUCUUCUUACUCCGUUGGGUAAUAUCUCUUGCUCUUCAUCAUAUCUUUAUGCAUCAUAUAUAGUUUUUACAAACCCAUAUUUCUCAUAAUUUUUUUCUCCAUUAUAAUUUAAAAUAUUUAUAGAGAUAUUCAUACUAAUUUUUCUUAUUAUAUAAAAAUUCAAUUUAAAAAUAUUAUAUAUAAAAUUCCUUGUAAAAAAGGAAAUAUAUUUCGCUUAGGAAUACACUACUCGGUCAAGGCAUUCAAACUUCCACAUGCUCCCACCCUGCUCAUACACCUCAUUCCACCACCUAAGCACAACUAAGAUCCUUCCACUCACGUUCUUGACUACCCAAUUCAAUGGCUUAUCUAUGCAGUAAAGUCCACAACUGUCCUUAUAAAGCCCCUAGUUUCAAUGAUAUAUUUGUUGCAGAGACAACUAAUUUUGUAGAAGAAAGAUAUAAUACAAAAAUAGCUUCAAAAAACCAACCAAAAAUCUAAAUCAAUGUAUAUAGAACAAGACACAAGCAGGAAAGGAUCUUCCUUCAAGCAAGUUUAAGUAACUGUCCAUCAAGAAAAUGGCUUCCAUGAUUCCGUAUAAACAAUAGAAUCUCUAAAAAGUGGAGUAUGUAGAGACCCCUCUCUCCGAGAACACGUGGCACGCAUCUUACAAUGACACAUGGCACGCAUUGUCAUCCGAGUCACCCUUAUCCGGAUCUUCCUAUAAAGCACACAUGACACGCUUUUCCUACCCGGGCUACCUCAAGGAAGAUCAAACGACACUUAUAAACAUAACAUCCGGAUGGCUUACACAAUUACAUCCGGAUGAUCAACAUAUGUCAUCCGGAUAUAAUUGUCCGGAUCAUUGACUGAAGUAAGGCAAGUCUUACACGUUAUCACAACAACCAUCCAUGGCCCACGUUCCGCCACCUGCAGGGUGAGAGGACAAGAUGAAGUGACAACAAGUCACUUCCUACGAUCAUUCCACAUGAUCACUUCCCACGAUCUCUGACAGCCGCAUCAUCACCUACCACGAUCCCUGUCAGCCGCCCGUAGGGUGAUGAUGGUCCUGCUGCUACCUAAUGUCAUCAUGACAACAUAAAAUAUCUCCCCACCAUUAAUGAGAGGAACAAUGCUCCUGGAACUAUAUAUAAACCUUCACACGAAGAGGAAGGUAAUCUCCUGAGACCUAGUAAAAGGCCAACUGAUUUAUCUCUCUCCCUAACCAUGGCUAACAAAACCAUCGGAGGGUGCAUCCGGACACCCUGUCCGGAUGCCCUUUUUGCAGGUAUAACGACUGAAUCAAGAACCUAUUUUGGUUGAGGUCGCGCAUCCGUCCAUUUGACAACUACGUGGAUCGUCAGGGACGCGAGGCAUCAACAUUGGCGCCGUCUGUGGGAAAUUUUCAUUUUGAUUCAGUCACUAGCAAAGAUGGUCACACCUUCCCGAAGUCGUUCAUCUAGUAGGGGAGAGGAUGAUAAUUUUGAAUGGCGUCAAACCAUCGAAAGAAGACAGUUGGCAAGCGAACGACAACUGAAAGCUCUCCUCUAGGAGACAGAAAGAUUGAGAGAAGAAAACGCUGUAUUGCGCAUCCAGGCUUCAACAUCAGGGCCUCCUCGACGUCAGCAUUCAAAAGGCAAAGUAGCAAACUCAAGGCCUCAACAAGAACCAGAACCAAUAUAUCCUGGGACAACAAGAGCCAUCCUAGGAGCAUGCAACGUGAGGCCUCAUGAGCCACACACGCCUAUGCCCCGAGCUCCCCGUGAGGAAAGCUCACACUCUACUCACUUUUCAGCGAAAAGACAAUGCGACAGAAGAUCUCAAUUGUCAAAUUCAAUGCGCGCAAGACUAGGCCCACAAGAGCCUGGAAGACCAAGGCCACCAGUAGCCACAACCUGGGCGUCACGCCCUGACCCUAUGAUCACCCCUAUGGUAUAGAACGUGCACCCGCAUCGUGACCCCAUGGUCACCCUCGUGAUGCGGAACGUUCAUUCGCACCCAGCGGUAUAGCAAGCUGGGGGAAACCUCCCAAACGAGCCACCCAUUGGCUCCAUCAGCAAAAGGUUGGAUGACAUGCUCUCCACGCCCUUCUGCUCUCAUAUCAUUCAUUACGAGCCCCCAAGGGGAUUCCUCGUACCAAAAUUCUCCACAUACGAUGGGACCAGCGAUCCCUUCGAUCACAUCAUGCAUUAUCGACAGCUUAUGACGCUCGAUAUUGGCAACGAUGCAUUACUAUGCAAAGUGUUCCCCGCCAGCCUAUAGGGGCAGGCCCUCUCAUGGUUUCAUCGCCUACCACCCAACUCUGUUGGCAAUUUCAGGGACCUGUCCGAAGCUUUCGUGAGACAAUACUUGUGCUCCGCUCGACACAAGCAAAAUAUCAGCACCCUGUAGAACAUAAAAAUGCAAGAUAACGAAUCCUUGAGGGAAUUUGUGAAGCGGUUUGGCCAAGCCGUACUUCAAGUAGAGGCUUGCAGCAUGGAUGUUGUCCUGCAAAUCUUCAAGCGAAGCAUCUGUCCAGGCACUCCAUUUUUCGAAUCACUGGCCAAAAAGCCUCCUACAACGAUGGAUGACUUAUUCAGGCGUGCCAACAAAUAUUCAAUGCUCGAAGAUGACGUGCGUGCAGCCACCCAGCAAGUUUUGGUUGCCGGACGACCAUCUAGAGGUGACGCAGACAGAAAUGCUAAACCUCCGAACCGGCCAAGGCUGUCUAACCGAAGGCAGGAAGGGCCAAGUCGCCCUGAAAGGCCGCCUCCCACACCUCUUUCCAUAUCAUAUGAAAAACUUCUCCCUAUGAUCCAAGGCUUGUCUGACUUCAGGUGGCCAAGACCCCAAGGAACAGACCCAUCCACAAGGGAUCAUAGCAAGAAAUGUGUCUUCCACAAGGAACACGGUCACACGACAGAAACAUGCAGGAGCCUCCAGUAUCUGGUCGAGAGGCUCAUCAAGGCAAGACAUCUAAAGCAAUAUCUCCGCUCAGAUAUUGAAGGAAAAUUCACUUCCCAACAUCACAAUCCUGGAGCCCCUAGGGCCCCAGCCACCCCCAAGGCCGUUAUAAACUAUAUUAAUGGAGGUCCAUCUGACGAAGAAUACGACUCUAGGCGAAAGAGGCAAAAAUUGUUGCGGGCUGCAUCAAUACACGAACGUUUCAAUUCCAUCCGGCCUGGGCUAACUGGAGGGGGCCCUCGCCCCAUAGAUGGGACAAUCAUUUUCCCACCAGUAGAUCCCACCCGAACACUGCAACCACAUCGCGACGCCCUCAUCUUGUCCCUGGAAAUAGGAGACUUCGAUGUGCGGCGUAUCUUGGUUGACCCAGGCAGUUCGGCCGACCUUGUAUAAGCAUCGGUCGUUAGCCACAUGGGACACAGUCUCGCAGGCCUUGAAAACCCUGGACGAAUCUUGUCCGGAUUCAACAGAUCAUCAAUAUUGCCGGUCCAAGCUGGCCCAAUCACUCUCAACGUACAAUUCUCGGUGGUACAAGAGUUAUCACCCUUCAAUAUCAUCUUGGGGCGCACAUGGCUACAUUACAUGAAAGUCAUCCCCUCUACAUAUCAUCAAAUGGUGAGUUUCCUCACCAACGAAGGGCAAAUUGACCUAUAUGGCAGCCAACUGGCCACUCGUCAAUGCUAUCAGAUAGCACGAGAAGCAGAGGCCAACCAGGAGGAUGCAUCUCCCCCUGAACCCAGCCAUACACAUGACCAAUAGCAAUUAUUGGGUCCGGCGGACAAAGAUCCCCCGGCAGCAGAUCCCUUACAAACGAUCCAAAUUUCGGAGGAAAACAUUCACCUCACGAACAUCAGUUCCCUCAUGACGACCGAAGAAACUCAAAGCAUGCAAAAUAUUCUCAGACGGAAUCAUGACAUCUUCGCAUGGGCACAUUCUGAUAUGAGGGGAAUUCAUCCCUCUAUUGCAUCUCACAGGCUUAACGUCUUUUCAACUGCCAAACCCGUCCGGCAGAAGAUUAGGCGCUUUCACCCGGAUAGGCAAAAAGUCAUCCGGAAUGAGAUUGACAAAUUACUGGAAUCCGGAUUCAUCAGAGAAGUAGCUUAUCCGGAUUGGUUAGCCAACGUAGUGGUGGUACCCAAAAAAGAAGGGAAAUGGCGGGUUUGCGUAGAUUACACCAACCUCAAUAAUGCAUGUCCAAAAGACAGUUUCCCUUUACCACGAAUAGAUCAAAUUGUGGAUUCCACUGCAGGGCAAGGGAUGCUCUCUUUCUUAGAUGCCUUCUCCGGAUAUCACCAGAUUCCCAUGUCUCCAACUGACGAAGAAAAAACAACAUUCAUAACGCCACACGACCUCUAUUGCUACAAAGUCAUGUCGUUCGGACUCAAAAACGCUGGCGCCACUUAUCAGAGACUGAUGACAAAGAUCUUCAAACCUCUGAUAGGCCACACAGUAGAGGUAUAUAUUGAUGAUAUCGUGGUUAAAAGCAAAACCCGAGAGGAGCAUGUUCUUCAUUUACAAGAAGUUUUUCACCUCUUGAGGAAGUAUGGCAUGAAGCUGAAUCCUUCCAAAUGCGCCUUUGGCGUAAGUGCUGGCAAAUUUCUGGGUUUUAUGGUCAGCCAAAGAGGGAUAGAGGUGAGCCCAGACCAAAUCAAGGCAGUCAUGGAAACACCUCCCCCCAGGAGCAAGAAGGAAUUACAGCGCCUUACGGGCAAACUCGUCGCACUAGGGCGUUUUAUAGCCCGCUUCACUGAUGAAUUGCGACCUUUCUUCUUGGCAAUUCGAAAGGCUGGAGCAAACGGAUGGACGGACAGCUGUCAAAACGCUUUUGAAAAGAUUAAACAUUGUCUUACGCAGCCACCCAUCUUGAGCAGUCUCAUUCCAAAAGAAAAAUUGUACAUGUAUCUGGCUGUAUCAAAAUGGGCAAUCAGCGAUGUUCUAUUCCGCUGCCCCUCACCCAAGGAGCAGAAACCAAUCUACUACGUCAGCAGAGCCUUGGCGGACGUAGAAACCAGGUAUUCAAAAAUGGAGCUAACGGCCUUAGCCCUUCGAAGCGCUGCCCAAAAGCUCCGCCCCUAUUUCCAAGCCCACCCGGUGAUCGUGCUGACCGAUCAACCCCUCCGCAACAUUCUGCACAAACCAGAUUUAACCGGAAGAAUGCUGCAGUGGGCUAUCGAAUUGAGCGAAUUUGGAAUCGAAUUCCAACCUAGAUUGUCCAUGAAAGGCCAAGUAAUGGCUGACUUCGUGCUAGAAUAUUCCCGAAGGCCUAACCAACACCAGGAAUCAAGUGAAAAAGAAUGGUGGACUUUGCGAGUUGAUGGAGCUUCAUGAUCAUCAGGGUCCGGAGUCGGGCUUCUGCUACAAUCCCCAAUUGGUGAGCACCUGGAGCAAGUCAUCCGGCUGGGAUUCCCUGCCUCUAACAAUGAAGCAGAAUACGAGGCCAUCUUGUCCGGAUUGGAUCUCGCCCUUGCCCUAUCCGUAUCCAAGCUCCGGAUCUACAGUGAUUCGCAACUCGUGGUAAGACACGUCCAGAAGGAAUAUGAGGCCAAGGAUGCACAUAUGGCGCGAUACCUAACGAAAGUAAGGAACACCUUACAGCAAUUCACCGAAUGGACAGUCGAAAAAAUCAAGCGAACUGAAAAUGAGCGCACUGACGCCUUGGCAGGUAUAGCUGCCUCCCUUCCUAUCAAAGAAGUCAUUCUAUUGCCUAUACAUGUGCAAACCGACCCCUCUGUCGUAGGAAUCUCCACUUGCAAUACCAUUGAGGCAAACCAAACAAACGACCAAGAGUGGACGGACAAUAUUGCAGAAUAUCUCCGGACAGACACUCUACCCGGAGAUCCCAAACAGGCAUACAAAAUCCGGGUGCAAGCUGCCUGUUUCACCUUAAUUGGGGGGCACUUGUACAAACGAUCCUUCACAGGACCCUACCUUCGGUGCCUAGGGCAUUCAAAGGCCCAAUAUGUGUUAGCUGAGUUACACGAGGGAGUAUGCGGGAAUCAUUUCGGAGGACGAUCUCUAGCACAUAGAGCCCAUUCGCAAGGAUAUUAUUGGCCAACAAUGAAGAAGGAUGCGACAGCCUAUGUCAAAAAAUGUGAUAAAUGUCAAAGGUAUGCUCCCAUUCCACAUAUGCUGUCAGCAACAUUAAAAUCAAUCUCAGGCCCAUGGCCCUUUGCGCAACGGGGCAUGGACAUAGUGGGACCCCUCCCAACAGCACCUGCCCAGAAGAAGUUCCUCCUUGUCGCCACAAAUUACUUCAGUAAAUGGUGGAAGCUGAAGCAUAUGUUGGCAUCAAAGACAAGGAUGUCACCAAGUUCGUAUGGAAAAACAUCGUCUGCCGUUUUGGAAUUCCACAAACUAUCAUAGCUGACAAUGGUCCUCAAUUUGACAGUAUCGCAUUCAGGAAUUUUUGUUCGGAGCUGAAUAUCCGGAAUUCAUACUCCACACCGCGUUAUCCUCAAAGUAACGGGCAAGCAGAAGCCACAAACAAAACUCUGAUCACUGCCUUAAAGAAAAUGCUCGAACAAGCCAAAGGGAAAUGGGUGGAGGAGCUACCCGGCGUCCUAUGGGCCUAUCGAACCACAUCCGGACGACCAACAGGAAAUACUCCUUUCGCCCUCGCAUACGGAAUGGACGCAGUCAUUCUUACUGAAAUAGGUCUACCUACCAUCCGGACUGACGCGGCAAAGCAGAAUGAUGCAAACACAGAGUUGGGAAGAAACUUGGAUUGGGCAAAUGAAAUAAGGAAAAGCGCAGCCAUCUGAAUGGCAGACUAUCAACAAAGAGCAUCCGCCCAUUACAAUCGCAAAAUAAGGCCCAGAAGCUUCAAAAAUGGUACGCUAGUCCUUAGAAAAGUUUUUGAAAACACUGCUGAAAUGGGCGCAGGGAAAUUCCAAGCUAACUGGGAAGGACCCUAUAAAGUGUUGAAGGCAAGUGAAAGUGGAGCCUAUCAUCUACAAAAGUUAGACGGAACUUCAUUACUUAGACCAUGGAAUGUGUCUAAUUUAAAACAGUAUUAUCAAUAAAAAAGCAAGUCAAAAUACAAAUGAGUAAAGAGAUGUUUUAUUCAUAUGUAUAAAUAUAUGUACAAGGAGGUCUCCGGAUCACAUAAAGUACAGAAAGAAGAUUAUAGCAAAGUUGCAAAAAGAGAAAAGCUAUCAGGGAGCAGGCUUGUCUAAAAGUUUCUUUUCUUCACCCGGAGGAAUUGAAGGGACAUCCCGCUUGAUGUCAUUCUUCUUCAUACAGCAACGAUAGCCGAAGAGAAACAUGUCAUCCACUUGCUUUUGGUAGUCCGCUUCAAGCGUCUCCCUGUCUGCAGCAAACUCUCCCUCUAGCUCCUCUUUUUGCGCUGCUAGGCGCAGCUGCAAAUCCUCAUUCUGCUUCUUUUCAAUCGAAGCCUCCGUCCGGAGUUGCCUCACCUCCCCCCUCAGCUGGGCCAUCUCAUCCUCUGCCUCGUGCAGGUGGAUGACUGCUGACUCCUCCCGGCUCUUUGCCUUAGCCAAAUCCGCCCGGAGAGCUUCAUUGUCCUCUCGAGCGGUGGAUAAACUGGCUUCGGCCUCCUCCAUUCUCAAGCGCAGCUGAUCUUCACUAUUUUUGCGCUGAGACGCGAAGGCCUUCAUGUAAUCAAUGGUUCGCAGCAAGUCAGUGAAUAAAUUGUAUUGUUGAGCCAUGCCGCGAAGACCACUUACCAGCUGCAUACAAGCACACAAGCAAGAAAAACAAAGUUAUAAAUCAUACCACAAAAACAUAUCAGAGUGACAAAGAAUCAAGAAGCACAAAAAACAGUAUACCGUUUCCACCAUCUCGAACAUCUAGGCUGAAGGCAUGACAGUGGUCAAGCCGAGUGGAAUCUGUUCCAGCUUCUCUUCCAACUCUGCGUAGCUAAAAGGGCUAGCGGAGGUGCAAGCCGCAUCAUUAACAGGAUUCCCCCCUGAUGAGGCGACAGAAGGCGACUCCUCUUCCGGAUUCGGGACCUCAACAUUUUCGGCCGGACGGGUCUCUCUGGGAGCAUCCUCAUCCGGGACCACCACCGGGACGGCUAGAGUCUCAGUUGCCAUCUCCACCUCGCCCCCCUCCGGAUGAGCAUCUUAGGCGGAUGAGCAACUAACUUCAAUCUCUUGCAAUCGAUCUUAAAGCCGCCCGAUGAGUCCCGACUUUAGAUUGCGCGUCGAGCACGACCUCUUUGAAGAUGACCCCUUUACCGGAACAAGAGCGAGACAGUUUGGAUCGUCAGAGGGCUGACUCUAGCUUUCUGCCGCUGUUUCCUCCAUUGGAGUCGCGCAAAGGGCCUCAGCUGCAUCAGCAUCCGGAUGGGGGGAGCCGGGAUGGUUUAUGGACGCAGCUUCCUCAGCCAAAGUAGCCAAACGGGCAACCAUCGACAAGGAGGGCCCCGAAUGGUUCAGCCCCGCGAUGUGUCCGGGGCCACUUGAAAUAGAGUGGGGGGCAGGGUUCACUAGCUCCUCUAUUAUUACCUCCGCCGCAUGAGUAAUAGGCGGAGGAACAAAUUCCUUUGGAGGAGUGGGCUCCUUCACUCCCUUCCCAUUUUUGACCAGCUUCCUUUUUUUCGCUGGGGCUUUCUUUGGAGGGGAGGCGGCGCUGCGUUUCUGUCCGGGAGCCUUCCGUAGAGUUCCCUCGUUUUUUCUCUUCUCCCGAUCAUCAAGGAGUGCUUGGCGUUUUUCAGCAUCAGCUUCUUUCACCUCCUGAUAGAUGGAGAGAUCCUUCAAAAUGUAAUGCUCCCCAGGCACUACCUCCUUUGGCAUCUUCCUGGGGAGAAUGUUGACGACAUACUCCUAGGACUCUCGGACGACGGCCAUUAGGUUCCGCACAGUGAGCAGCGUCCCAUAAUGCCUCUCCUUAGCGUCUAUCUCAAAUAAUUUAUUGAGGCAGGCAAAAGACGUUUUUUCUACCCAGUCAACUAUGUGGCCCCUCCUUUCCGGACCUACAUUAUCAGCAACAAAAGAUAAAAAUGUCAUCCGGAAAGAUCAACAAAAAGACAACAAGGUAAAAGCCGGACAAAACCCGCAAGCAAACUUACCCGGAAGCACUGUGGAGUAGUUUGGAGAAAAAGGCCUCGCCGGAUGCUCCAAUAGCCCCGCCCACGCUCCCCGGACCAUCACAUGUCCUUUCGCCCCUCCCUUCGUCGAAUCCGGCAGCUCCGUCACCAAUUGAAGGGAGUGCAGGUGAGCAGACAUGCUAAAGAUGUCAUUUUUUCCCUUCUUUAGGGAGUAGACAAAAAGAACCUCUAGCAGCGAGAGGUCGAGAUUGUACAGCAUGUUUAUAAUGUUGCAUCCCAUCAGCACCCGGACUAUGUUGGGAUUGAUGAAGGCGGGUGGAAUCUGGGUGAAAUGGAGGAAUUCCUUGAACAACGCCGGAAGAGGGAACCGGAGCCCCGCGUUGAAUUGCUCUUUUGAGAAAAUGAUGGCAUUUCCUUCAGCUUUCUCAGUUGGCACAAGCUCCUCCUCAUUCAGCAAUUCCACGGUCACACCAUUUGGGAUACAGAACCGAUACCGGAACUCCUUCACAUUCAGUUUGUCUAUAGAUUUCUCACGAGCAUCGCUGGCCCGGACAGAUGAGACAGCUUUCUUCUUUGCAGACAUUUUUUAGCCUGAGGCUGAACCGAAACCUACAUACAAGAAGCGCAACAGUCAAAAACAGCAAACCAAAAACUCACAAACCCUAACCAAGCAGUCAAAAACACCCUCAAAAAACCCCAGAAAACCAACAAAUUCCAACAUUCCACACAGUCGCAAGCGGCUUGCCCAAAAAAGACAGAAACGAAGCCAACAAACAACAAAGCGCAACAAAGGGAAAAACAAGAGCAAAAUGCACGUACCAAGUGGAAAUCUGAAGAAGAAAUGGUGAAAACUGCGAUACAGUCACCGGUUGCGACACAAAAUCACCGGCAGAAAAGUUCUAGGGUUUCGCUUAGAAAAGCAAAGGAGAGCACAGAAGGAAGAAGAAGCAAAACUCUCAGAAAAAACGCAGUAGGAAAAAAUGCAACAGAAGACACAGUUUGCUAUUUAUAGGGGGGACAGCCCCUCGGAAAGCCAAACGCACAGCUGCAACAUCAUUGAAACGACAUGCUGCCUGGGAAUACCCAGAGUCGGCGGCUCAUCAUAAAUGCCUUUUUGGCUCCCGCACCCCCACUCGCCACGUGGCCCAACCAGACAAAAAGUCGACUUCGGUUUCAAAAACCAAUUAUUUUUUAACCCGCCCAUUUUUGCUCAAGCAAAAUAGGCAAGUUAAAAAGAGGGGCAUUGUAGGGACCCCUCUCUCCGAGAACACGUGGCACGCAUCUUACAGUGACACAUGGCACGCAUUGUCAUCCAAGUCACCCUCAUCCGGAUCUUCCUAUAAAGCACACAUGGCGCGCUUUUCCUAUCCAGACUACCUCAAGGAAGAUCAAACGACACUUAUAAACAUAACAUCCGGAUGGCUUACACAAUUACAUCCGGAUGAUCAACAUAUGUCAUCCGGAUAUAAUUGUCCGGAUCAUUGACUGAAGUAAGGCAAGUCUUACACGUUAUCACAACAACCAGUCAUGGCCCACGUUCCGCCACCUGCAGGGUGAGAGGACAAGAUGAAGUGACAACAAGUCACUUCCUACGAUCAUUCCACAUGAUCACUUCCCACAAUCUCUGACAGCCGCAUCAUCACCUACCACGAUCCCUGUCAGCCGCCCGUAGGGUGAUGAUGGCCCUGCUGCCACCUAAUGUCAUCAUGACAACAUAAAAUAUCUCCCCACCAUUAAUGAGAAGAACAGUGCUCCUGGAACUAUAUAUAAACCUUCACACGAAGAGGAAAGUAAUCUCCUGAGACCUAGUAAAAGGCCAACUGAUUUAUCUCUCCCUAACCAUGGCUAACAAAACCAUCGGAGGGUGCGUCCGGACACCCUGUCUGAAUGCCCUUUUUGCAGGUAUAACGACUGAAUCAAGAACCUAUUUUGGUUGAGGUCGCGCAUCCGUCCAUUUGGCAACUACGUGGAUCGUCAAGGACCCGAGGCAUCAACAGAGUAGGGUGCACGAGAUCAAAUCGAGAUGUGUGAUGACCAUUACAAUUAAUGACUAGUUCUGAGACAUGCAAAAGAAUUGUUGAUAAGAAAGAAUAUCUGCAGCUCCAUAUGUCAGACAUGAUGUAAAAAGUAUGUCAUGGUCUUGAUUAUUCCAGGAGCUGACCAGCUCAAUACUUGACCAUCAACCACUUAAAGCAAAGUCUUUUGGGCUUUAGCAAUAUUACAUACUUAGACUAUAGUUGCAUUUCAACUAUAUUUGUCAAAAAAUUGAUAAUAUUACAUACUUAGACCCAUUAAAAUCUUAUAGAAAUCUUCCCAAAAUAAUAUGAGAAUUUAAUAUUAAUAACAUAUCUUAAUUAGGUUAUUUAUGAGAAUUUGAGAGAAAAAUAAAUUUCCUCAUACACUUUUUUUUUUAAAAAAAAAGACUUUUUUCAUAGUAAUUAAAUAUAAGAAAGCUAUUUUUGAAGAUUAAAUUUAGUUUCAGAUUUUCUUAAAAUAUGAACAAUUACUGUCAGUAAUCAUUGGUUGGCCGCCGCCAAGUCUUCUGCAAUUGAUUAUGUUGUUGCCCACUUGCCCACAUGCAGCCUAAACGCGUAGACCAAGUCUUGGGAUCUCUUUCACGUAACAUAAAACCGAAAGCAACUGAGGAAAAGUGUAGCUAUAAGAAUCCCGAAGUGAUUCCUUGGAAUUCAUAGGUUUUGAAUUAAGUUGAAUUACUCUCUUUGCAUCUUCUGAUCAGGAAUUCAAACAUGGAGUGUAGGAAGUUCCAGAUUGCCAUUCUUUCAGCUCAAGGUCUUGAGAACGUCCGAGAAAUAUUCAGAAUGAAAGUCUACGCCCAGCUUUCAAUCCCCGGCAAUCCCCAAAUAAAGAGAGAAACCCCAGUGGACACAGAGGGGGAGACCAACCCCGCAUGGAACUCCACCAUUAGAUUCACAAUAGGCAAUCAGGCAGUCGAACACCAAGGCGUCGUGUUCGUCAUCAAGCUAUACUGCAGCCGGGCCCUAGGAGACCGGUACAUCGGUGAGGUGAGCCUAUCUUUCAAGGACCUGUUUGAUGGUGCCGCACCCACCAGCCAAGGCCGCAGCAGCGGUAUUGUAAGUUACCCAGUGAAAAGGGGUGCAGCGGAUUCACAAGGGCUAUUGAACUUUUCAUACUCUUUUGGGGGUAUAGUGGGUUAAGAAACCAUCCCGUUUCUUGCCCAGAAAUUUGGCAGCUGCAGGUUUCUUUAUUAUGAAAGUGGUUUUAGAGGCUACCUUAGAGCAAGCAUCGAUCUCGACAUUCCAUUCUUUGGAGAAGAUGUUCCGAUAUGUUAACGAGCAUGAUAAGUAUAUUGAGCUCAAAUCUUGAGUUUGUAAAGCUUUGAGGAAAAUUGUUACUUCAGUCAAACUUAGUUUGAUAGGAUGUUUCAGAUUCGACCCUCUUUCUGUAAUUUACUUUUCCACUAUUUGUUUUGUAAAAGCUUAACCUGAUAUGGUGGGAGGUCUUGGUGUCAAUCACUUCAGUGUAUUUUUUACUAUUCAUUGCAUGUUUCUUAUUUGUAGAGCAAUGUUUCUUCUCUUCAAAGAUCUCCAUGAUUCCAACAAGAACCCCUUUUAGAAUGGUAUAAGAGAUCUUUUCCCUAAUCUAUAGUCUACGUUUGGGGAGAGCCAUAAAUGUUGAAUACUCUAUGUUUGGGGAGAGCCAUAAAUGUUGAAUAUUCCAAGCUCAUUGAGGGCAUCCAUUAAGGUUUAACCCAAAGAUGUGGGAGGGGGAAAAGCCUACUAGAGCUGCUGCAACUGUUCAUUUGGAUAGACAAUACUAAAAGAAAAACACGUAAAAAAAAAAGAAGUAAAUAAAAGACGGGGAUCUCAAAAGACAAAUAAUAUAGGUUCAAAAUUUUAUCAGAUACUUCCUUUUUCGUUUUCAUUUUGUAUUUUGGCUCACUUCUCCUUUGAUUCAAGAUAAAGAAGGUAUACGAUGGGAUUUCAAACUUAUAAAACUAGAUAUAUUUAGCCUAAACUUAAAAAGAAAAAAAUUAAAUUAACUCCAAUUUUAAAGUUAAAAAAUAUUUUUUAUAAUUCUAUUUUAUAUGGGUUGCAGUUUUAUACAAAUUUAAAUUACCUCCGAUAAUAUUAAUAUGAUAAACCAAAAAAGAAGAAGACGGGAAUAUGUUCAUACACUAAUAUGUUAUUAUUAAAAUAAUAAAAUAUUUUUAUUAAAAUUAUGUUUGAAUAUGAAUAGUAAUAAUUUAAAAUAAAUAUAAACUUUUAUUUAUUUUUAUAAAGAAUAAAAAUAUAUAUAUCCAACUGUCUAAAUUUGAAUUUCAAUACAUACCGUUAUGGUAUGUUAGCAUCCGCCUACAUUUUAAUACGGUUAACGGCGUCGCUAAUUUCCAAAACCCCGACUUUGCUCUGUGUAGUGGGAAACGGAGAGUAUGAAUUUCAGACGACGUCGAAUUCUGCCACAUCAGAAUGAAACGGCGGCGUUGCUGACUUGCUACAGUGUUUUCUGAGUUCUUCACGAGACGCCAUGGACGACGUUGAUCGCUUGUUUCAGUGCUUCAAAUGUGGCGUGUCUCUUCCAAGUACUCUCUCUACUAGUCUUAUAUAGAUAGAUAUGAUCGAUUUAUGGUAUGUUUGGUCGCUGAGAAAAUGUGGGAACAAGGAAAAGAAAAAUCAAAACUGUGAAUCAUGAGAUGUCUGAAAUUGGGGACGAGAAACCAAGACCUCUAUUUUUUUGCGAUUUUCAUUAUUUGGAAGCCUAUAUAAAAUACUAAAAUAAGUUCAGAACUGUUAUCUUGAGCUUUUCCUCAAUUUUCUGCCAACCAAACACGGUGUGCUUGCUUCUCUUUUCUUCAAUGCUUGGUUAGGGCUUUAUUUUCGUUACUAUGACCGGACAUUUAAUUAAAGUUAGUAAAAGUGGAAUUUUCUGAUAAUUAUGUUUAAUUGAAGCAAAAUGCGUCCCCAAAUUUGCUGAUGAUUCAAUAUUAGGGAUUUUAGAAUAUUUUCUUGCUUUCUUCAAGUGGAUUGGUUUUCAAACUUUCUAGGGAAAAAAAUGUUACGCACACAUUGGUUAGAACUCACCUUUGAAAACCGACCAUCGAAGGUAGGGUGCCCAAUUGCUUAUAAGCCAAAUCACUAACCCUUAAUUUCUCGAUAUGGGACGUAAUUAGGUCGUUACAAAAACUUCUCCGAAGUUGAAAGAUUUGAGUCCACUUUUUAAGGCAUGGUGUGCCAGCAUUUUCAAGUUACUUUUUCUUUUGGCCCUUCAAGCAAAAAUUUCAGUGAUUUUUUUCUUUGAUAAGCAUAGACUAAGGAAUGGCUCACAAAAACACUAAUGAUAAAGAACUUAAUUCACUUUAUUCCAUUUGUUUGGGGUUGUUGAUACCCUUUUCUUGGCUGACUUUCAGGUGGGCUCACCCAGAUAGCCUAUGAAACAUCCCCUUUUAGUGAACUAUGAUCCCAAAAAACCAAGUUGGAAAAGUAUAUUCAAAUUUUAUGAAAACAGUACAAUCAUUGCAUUGGCUGCUGAAAAAGUUCAGGAAAAAUUGAAACUUUGUGCACCAACAUCUCAUUAUUAGGCAAAGAAGGGAAAACUUCUCUACUCAAUAUAACGUAUUUUAUUUUAGGUUAAUUUUUCUUUUCCCUUCUUAUAGAAGAAAAAACCAUUAAACAUAAGAUUUAAACUUUAAUUUUCUUUUCUAUUCAUCAGUUUCUCGGAAACCAAGUAGAAGAAGUGAUAAAUGGUGUGAACCUUGGUCUCCAUAAAAUGAAACAACUUUGUGAAGUUUGAAGUGAAUCGAGAAUUAUGCCUUUCACCAUACUAUUUCUUGACAUUUUGAAUUAAAUAAGUUACUUUCCCUUUAUGUUCUUAUGGUAAUUGCUUCCUUGUAUAUUUACCUUGUAUUUCAGAAUCUGCUAUUAAAGAAAGAAAACAUAGUAAAGAAAAAUUGAAGCAAGCAGGUUCAACUCAUGAGGCAUCUGCAUAUUCUGAUGUUCAAUCUCCAGGAUCAGCUGGAGAAAGACAUCAAAACAUAAACAAUGUGCAGUCCUGCAUGAAGGAAGUAUAUGUUGUAACGAUUCACUCCCAACCGUGUAGAUAUUGUUCACUUUGGACCCAAAAGGGCCCUCGCGGCUUUAAAACGCAUCUACUUGGUUACAAAGAAUCUCUACAUAUAUAGCGUCAUAAACUUUCUCCCUUAUUCGAUGUGAGACAUCACAAACACUCCCUCAUGCAGACACAACGUCCUCGUUGUGUCCCAUGGAAUUGCGGGGUCAAACAGACAAACACCCCUUACGGGGUCAAACAAGCCCCCACACCUCACUCCCAACUGUGUAGAUAUUGUCUGCUUUUGACCCAAAUGGGUCCUCAUUGCUUUAAAACGCGUCUACUUGGUUAAGAGGAGUCUCUACAUAUAUAGUGGCAAAAACUUUCUCUCUUAUCUGAUGCGGGACAUCACAAACUCAUUAAAGGUAAAAGAGUCCUUUUACAAUUAAAAAUCCUAUAUAUAAAUUAGAUUUUCCUCUUAUCUUCUUUAUUUAGAAAACUUUAUCAACCAAAAAACAGAGAAUUGAAUAAUGUAAGGUCAAAGGAUGAUUAUUUGCCCUUAGUGGAGUUUGCCUAUACUAAUAGCUUUCAAGCUAGCAUUGGGAUGACACCUUUUGAGGCAUUAUAUGGUAGGAGAUGUUGAUCUCCUGUUUGUUGGGAUGAUGUUGGAGAAAAGAAACUUUUGGGGCUUGAACUUGUGCAGUUGACUGUUGAAAAGGUCUCUUUAAUUAAGGAAAGAUUGAAAACAACACAGUUGAUGUUCCACAUCGGAUAAGGGAGAAAGUUUAUAGUGUUAUAUAUGUAGAGGUUUAUUUUAACCAAGUAGACGCAUUUUAAAGCCGUGAGGGCCCCUUUGGGUCUAAAGCGGACAAUAUCUACACAGUUGGGAGUGAAUCAUUACAAAUGGUAUCAGAGCCGAUUCUUAACCCCGGUGUGGGGGUUUGUUUGGCCCCGUAAGGGGUGUUUGUCUAUUUGACCCUGCAAUUCCAUGGGACACAACGAGGAUGUUGUGUCUGUAUAGGAGGGUAUUUGUAAUGUCCCACAUCGGAUAAGGGAGAAAGUUUCUAGCACUAUCUAUGUAGAGGCUCCUCUUAACCAAGUAGACGUGUUUUAAAGCCGUAAGGGCCCCUUUGGGUCCAAAGCGGACAAUAUCUACACGAUUGGGAGUAGGUUGUUACAUAUGCUCUGUCUUUCCUUUUGUUUUUAGACUUCCGUGUUUUCUCUUUUUUUAUGUCGAUUGCUUUAUGCUUAAAAUGAAGUUUCUAUAUUUUUGUUACGGGCAGCAAGCAAGUAGGUAUCCUGAUUCAAGGAAUAGUCAUAACUCAUACAUACUGGUAUUUAGUUGCAUGUAACACCAAGCAUCUCAUUGAAGCUUGAUAUCCAGUCUCAAUGACUUGUGUGCUCAGGCACACACAAAUUCUUGUAUGCUAAAGUUAUAUUCAAUUAAAUACUAUUCCUAUAGAAAAUAAUCAUUUGGCUUCUUGAGUUAAUCAUGAAUUUUGAAAGUGAUAGCUGUUGAAUCUGUUUGAAUUGUUGGUUGGACAGAUCAUACUUUACUAUUUAUUACUUAUUUUAAUGCAUGGCUUAAUUCUAUAUAUCAUUAUUCCUUCAUCUUGGUCCUAGAACAGUUGAAGCAGAGAGGUUUAAUUGUCACAAGCACAUUUCUCCAAUCAUAUUACUGGAUAAGGACUUUGCAAGCUUAAAACCUAUAUUUACUUGCAAUAAGGAAAAUUGUCCACCAAAAGAGUCAAGAAUCCUUCUUGUUCAUCUAAGCCAAUGAUCACUACAUCCAAAAACAAAUAAAAUAAUUAUGGGAUUAGAUGAAAUGAUUCUUUUGUUGAAAAUGCUAAAUGAAGUACUGUAAAAAUAAAAAAGAAAGUGAAAAUACCUUAACACACCAAUAAUGUUGGAACAAAAAAAGUUUUGAUACCACUUGUUGUAUAUGUGGAAACUUUUUUGAAAGAAUAUAAAAUAAAAUCAUUCAUACACAAAGGUAGAUAAGGUUUUAAUUUAAUCCGACUGAUCAUACCUACCUCUUUAGAUGAGAGAUAAUAUUCCUAUAUAAAAUAAAGAACAUUAAAAGGGACCGAUCAAAACAGAUAAGAGAUAACAUUUCACUAUAUAAUAAAAAGACAGUUCAACAGAUAAAUCAAAAUAUAUAUGUGGACCCGCAUUUUUCACGUGCGUCCCUACUCGAUCGGCGAGACUCGCUUUUUAUUUGUGAAAAAUUAUUUAGUUUUGGAAAAGUUGGAGCCGCCACUUAUUUUAUUUUUAUUUUAAAGGGAAAAUAAAACAAGAAAUAAAACCCUAAAAAAAGUGACUAUAAUUUUUGGAAAAGCUUGUCUUUGAAAAACCCGAGUCUAAGUCCGGGGAUCAGGUUACUUAUUGGGAAGGUACCUCUAGGAGGUAGCACCCCUCUAAGCCCUAAAGAGGUCUCUACUAACUAAGUUGAGGGAAACGUGACAAUUAAAUAGUUGAUCAUGGAUACCUAGAUAGACUAAGGUGAUUUCAAAAAAUAACAUGCCAAAUAGGAUCAAAUUACGAUAAAAGAGAGUUAGGGUGCAUACCUGGACAACUUCUCAAGCGCUAUCAUAAAACAUGAAAGUUAAUAUUGAGAUACAUCACACAACAUGCAUUUUAUCAAAGAUAAUCAAACAAUCAUCAAAUAUAUACCAAGACAAUCAAAUAGGAUAGCAAGCAUAGACAUAGUACACAACGACAAUCAUAUUCAUAGGGUUUAGCAGGGAACGUACCCGUAUAGCAUAUAUAACUCCUAAUGCGCUUCAUCAGGACAUAGGGUUUAGAUAACAAAUAAUAAAUAAUAAAUCCUAGCAUGCUUAUCUAACUAAUUAGCAAAAAUUAUCAGCAUACGAAAUAAUUAAUUAUCAUACAUAUCUUGUAUACAAUUCCUAAAAAGAAAAAAAAAUGUAAAUAUAAUUACAAUAAAUAGCAGCGUGGUAGCAAAAAUAAAUUUUGAAAAAGAUUUUCUUAUGUAGGGGUUUCACCAAUUCCCCAAAUUAAUAUACACAAAUAUAACUUGGAAUUAAAUGUUAUUACUUUCAUAAAAAAAUAAAAAAUAAAAAAUUCAUGAGUAUUAAAAAAAAACAUUUAUUCUAUAGUUUUAAUGAAUUGUAUUUAUAAAAGGAAGUUUUGAUUUACUUAAAUAAGAAGGUUUUAAUUUCAUGCAAAGAAAAUAUUUUUUUUUUAAAGUUUGUUCACAAGAAAAUAAAUGUUAUCACUUUUAUAAAGGAAAUAUUUCAUAAGUAUUAAAAAUAAUAAUAAUAAUAACAAUAAUUGAUUCCAUAGUUUUAAUGAAUUUUAUUUAUAAAAAGAAGCUUUAAUUUAUUUAAAUAAAAAGACUUUAAUUCCAUGCAAAGAAAAUGUUUUUAAAAAGUUCAUUCACAAGAAAAUAAAUGUAAUUAUCACUUUUAUAAAGGAACUAUUUCAUGAGUAUAAUAAUAAUAAUAGUAAUAAUUGAGUCCAUAGUUUUAAUUAAUCUUAUAAAAGGAAGUUUCAAUUUACUUAAAUAAAAAAGGCUUUAAUUCCAUGCAAAGAAAAUAUUUUCAAAAAUUCAUUUACAAAAAAAGAGAAAGAGAAAAAUAAAUAAAUAAAAAUUAAUUAAUUAAUAAUGGUAAUAAUAAUAAAACCUCAUAAAAAUAUAUUUGACAAUUUAAAAAUAUAUAUAUUUUUUUAAUGUAAGAAUAUCUUUUAUAAUUUAAAUUUUUCUUUAAUAAUUUUUUUUUAACUUUAUUUUAUUUACAACAGGAUGAUUUCCACAACUCUUUAUUUAGAAAGCACAAAUUUUUAUUUUUAUUUUUUUAAAACAUAAUAAAUUUUUUAAAUAAGAUAAACAAUUAUUUUAUAUUUUAAUCCAAGAGAACGAAAAAAAUGUUUAAAAUAAUUUAAAUAUUACAACUUUUUAUUUUUUUUAUUUUUAAACAAAGCUAUCAUAAAAAUUAUCAAAACACUUAAAAAUCCGAACUUUUUCAUCAUCAUCAGGAACUAUCCCAAAACUAAAAAUUAAGCACAAUAUAAAAUUUCAUUAAUAUCCAAAUUAUUGAAAACUAAAAAAAACUUGCAAAAUAUUUCAACUUUUUAUCACAAAAUUAUCCAAAACGAAUAAAACAUCUAAUUUUUAAACUAUCAUCCCGAAUCAUCCAAGACAAAUGCCUACAAAAAGUAACAUGAGAUUAGCAAUAAUAAUAAUGAUAACUAAAAUAAAAUAAACAAAAUAAAUUCAAAAACCAAAAAAAAAAAACUAAAAAUCCUAACUUGAUUUAUAUUUUAUUCAAACAAUCAUUAUGAAUUAUUCCAAAGCUAAAAAAAUAAGCACAAUAUAAGUUUUCAUUAAUAUCCAAAUUAUUGAAAACUAAAAAAGACUUGCAAAAUAUUUCAACUUUUCAUUAACAUCACAAAAUUAUCCAAAAUGAAUAAAAAAUCUAAUUUUUAAACUAUCAUCCCGAAUCAUCCAAGACAAAUGCCUACAAAAAUUAACAUGAGAUUAGCAAUAAUAAUAAUGAUAACUAAAAUAAAAUAAAUAAAAUAAAUUCAAAAACCCAAAAAAAACUAAAAAUCCUAACUUAAUUUAUAUUUUGUUCAAACAAUCAUUAACACAUCUCAUAUAAAUACAUUAAAUCCAACAAAACACUCACCGGAAGACAUUAAAUCCUAUUAUAACCGUCCAUGAUUUCAUUCCCUUUCCUUUAACAAAUAAAUAAAAAAAACAUGCCAAUAGCAUCAUUCACAUCAGGACUGACCAUAUAUUCACAUUCAUUUGCAUUUUAAAUCCAACAAAACGAAGUCAAAGAACACUAACCUUUCUUGCAACUACCAUCUUUUACGAUUGUGUCACUUUUUCUUCUCAGUCUAGCACGAUUGUGUCACUUUUUCUUCUCAGUCUAGUUGUGUCUGCUUCUUCGAUCUGACUCGCGUGUUCCUUCACCAUAAAGAGUCCCUGAAUCAGCCUAUGCGUCCUCUAGAAGUUCCACCCGGAAACGUGAUCUCCAUGUCUACAAUUUUCUUCUGAAUCUCGUUCAAAAAAUCAACCAAAAAUUCUCCCAGAGCUCUCUUUUCUCUCUCUCUAAGACAUCUCCCCCCUCUCUUCAGGCCCUCUCCUCUAAAAAAAAUUCUCCUUUUUUUUCCUCCUCUUCCUUGUCUUUCUCAUAUUCUCCAAAAAAAAACCCCCAAAUCCCCUUCAUCACGCCUCUCUUCCCUUUUUUGCAUGUGAGUUGACUUUUAUUUCCUUCUAAGAAUUCCCCCCGCUCUCUUUCUUGCAAAAUACAGUCUGUCUAUUCAAUAUGUCACCUCAAUUCUUCCUAAAAUAUAUCAUCUCUUUUCCUUUUUCCAUUUAAAAUAUGCUUUGACCCAAAACACUACUGAAACCUCCUUCCAUCAUCACGUGAUUCUUUUCCCAAAAGACAAAUUACAUUACCUUCUUUGCUGCUCAUCAUUUCUUUUUUCAUACAUAAGCUAAAUCUUCCCCAUAACAUGGCUCCAUUCAUUUUUUUUCCAUAUGUCUACUCUUGGAACCAAUAUGGUAGCUACCCACUCCGAGCUUCACAUCAUAGACACUUUUUUAUCUUUCUAUUGGUGGACUUCCUACAAAAUUUCAAAGUUAAUAGAGUAAUAGUAAUAAUAAUAAUAAUAAUAAUAAUAAUAAUAAUAAUAAUAAAAAUGUUUAAACAAAAUUAUUAAAUUAAACUAAAGAAGUAAAGACAAGUAUUAUGGAAAAGUGAUAAAAUAAUAGGAAAAUAAAAUAAAUAAAGAAAUAUACAAAAUAAUAAAUAAAAUAAAAUAAACAAAAAUAUAAAGGUAAAAAAUAAAAAAAUAAAAAAAUAAAAAAUUAAAUAAAAUAAAAAAAGUCAAACAAUGUGAUUUUACAAAAACGAGUCUUGCAAGUCAUACAAGUCAUGCAACCAUGCAAACCAUGCCCAUGCAAAAAAUGAUCUAAAUGGGCCUAAGGUGUCGAAAUGGGCCUAAAGUGAUGCCUAAUGGGUCAAGUGUACCUAAAUGGGCCUAGGGUACCUAAAUGGGCCUAGAGUAAUCUAAGUGGGCCUAAAGUGGCUAAAUGGGCCUAAAGUGAUCUAAGUGGGCCUAAAGUGUCUAAAUGGGCCCAAAGUGAUGCCUAAUGGGCCAAGUGUACUUAAAUGGGCCUAAAGUGAUCUAAGUGGGCCUAGGGUGACUAAGUGGGCCUAAAGUGUCUAAAUGGGCCUAGGGUGCCUAAGUGGGCCUAGGGUGCCUAAGUGGGCCUAAAGUGAUCUAAGUGGGCCUAAGGUGACUAAGUGAGCCUAAAGUGGCUAAAUGGGCCUAAAGUGACGCCUAAUGGGCCAAGUGUACCUAAAUGGGCCUAGGGUGCCUAAAUGGGCCUAAAGUGACCUAAAUGGGCAUAAAGUGAUGCAUAAUGGGCCAAGUAUACCUAAAUGGGCCUAGGGUAAUCUAAGUGGGCUUAGAGUUACCUAAAUGGGCCUAGGGUGCCCAAAUGGGCCGAAAGUGAUCUAAGUGUGCCUAAAGUGUCUAAAUGGGCCUAAGGCGCUUAAGGUGGUGCCUAAUGGGCCAAAGGUGGCUAGGUAAGCCUAAGUCUAAAUAAGUCUAAAUUAGGGCUACCAGGAGUCGCAAUAGAGUUCAAUAAAUCCCUCAACCAUAGUCCCCAAGGUGGCGUAGAGCAGAUAGGUUAUGCGAGUAAUAAUGGGCCGCCAGGGAAUUGCUGUAAACGACAUGUGCGAGGAAGACAAAAUAGAGGGUUUACAAUAUAUAAUUAUUAAGUCCCAAAACAUCCCACAUUUCCUUACUUUUUAUACUUUUACCCCUAAAUCAAGAGUCAUUUUGCUUCAUUAAGUAUUUUUUACUCUUCCUUACAUCUACCCCAUGAUCCUUCUUACUCCAUUGAGUAAUAUCUCUCGCUCUUCAUCAUAUCUUUAUGCAUUAUGUAUAGUUUUCACAAACCCAUAUCGCUCAUCAUUUUUUUCUCCAUUAUAACUUAAAAUAUUUAUAGAGAUAUUCGGACUAAUUUUCCUCAUUAUAUAUAAAAUUUCUUAUCAAAAAGGAAAUAUAUUUCGCUUUGGAAUACACUCCUCGGUCAAGGCAUUCAAACUCCCACAUGCUCCCACCCUGCUCAUACACCUCAUUCCACCACCUAAGCCCCACAAAGACCCUUCCACUAACGUUCUUGACUACCCAAGUCAAUGUCUUAUCUAUGCAAUAAAGUCCACAUCUGUCCUUAUAAAGCCCCUCGUUUCAAUGAUAUAUUUGUUGCAGAGACAACUAAUUUUGUAGAAGAAAGAUAUAAUGCAAAAAUAGCUUCAAAAACCAACCAAACAUCUAAAUCAAUAUAUAUAGAACAAGACACAAGUAGGAAAGGAUUUUCCUUCAAGCAAGUUUAAGUAACUGUCCAUCAAGAAAAUGGCUUCCAUGAUUCCGUCUAAACAAUAGAAACUCCAAAAAGUGGAGUAGGGUGCACGAGAUCAAAUCGAGAUGUGUCACGACCCAAAUUCUAGGCGACCCAAAAUUUGGUCCAUGAUCCCAUAUCAAAGGUUUGACCCUAAGGGUUUCUCAUACUCCACGCUUGCAGUCAACAAAAACACUCUGAAUUUUUUUUUCCACGUAUAAACCGCACUAGGGUUCUCACCAACUAACAAUGUUUCAAACAUUACUCAAAUGCAUCAAGAUUUAAUAAUUAUCAUUACAGUCAAAAAUAAAAGUUCAUAGUUAAUCCACUUAAUCAAAUUAAGGUCUCAUUACACAUUCAUAGUUCACAAUUUAUUAAAACAAGUUCCAAUAUCACAAACGCCAUAAAUAAGACACGUUCCACUAGACCGCUCCAAGGGCAUCCUAAAGUCCUCCCUGCCCCACCUGUGGAUCCUAAGGAGUGAUAUCUACAUCUAAAAAAAAUGUAAAAAGGAAGGGGUGAACAUUUUCACAUUGCUCAGUAAGGUACCUAACACCCAAGGGGUUAUGGGGAAUUACUAAGUUACACAAUAACAUAAAAAAUAAAAAAAAACAUUUCAACAACAUUGAUCAAGCCCCAUAAUUUAAUAUAUAUAAUUAUACACAAUUCCAUAAUAUUCAACAAAUAAAUGAAAUGCAUAUGAACGUAUGACACACAGUCAUACAAUGCACUAUUGUUCUCGAGCUUUCACCAAAGGAUACGCGUCCGCACCCAAAUACAUUCCCCAUUCGAAGUCUUCUUGGAGUAAACUUUUGGGUCUUUCACCCUAGGGAUCCCUCUCCCUUCUUAAUUUGCCUCACACAAACUUUCACUUUUCGUCACUAUUUCAUUUUUUUUCUUUCUUUUUUCCAUUUCAUACACUUUUCACAAUUUUUAUCUUUUCUUCACACAACCAUGAUGCAAAUGUAUGUCACAAUUCCAAAAUUUCUCAAUAAUUUCAACAACUUCAACAAUUCCAACAUUUCCAAUAAUCCAAUAAAAUAAAUUUUCCACAUUACAAUUUUCGAAAAUAUCCCAACAAAUUUUCAAAAUUUCACAUAUCAAUAAACUUAAAAUUAUACCACACUUUCGGAAUUUUUCAAUAAUUCUAAUAAUUUUCAAUAUUCUAAAUUAAUCAAUUCUCCACAACCAAAUUACCAAUGUUUUCAGAACCGGACCGGUGAUCGAACCGGAAAAAUUACCGGUUCACGGUUCACCGGUCGGACCGGCGGUCGAACCACUAUUGAACCGGUGAUGUAAUAAAUAUAUAAUUUAUAUAUUAUAUAAAAUUAAAAAUAAUUAUAAAAAUUAAAAAUAUAUAAAAUUAUAAAUUUUAAUAAUGUUUGAUUUUUAUAUUUGGUAUAUUAAAUUAAAUGAUAAAGUUUAAUAUUUUAAAUUUUAUUAAAUAGAAAGAUGUAAUAUUUAAGAAUGAGGAUAUAUUUAAAAUGAAAAAAAUUAUAUAUUUAAUUUUAUCUUUUUGUCUUUGUAUUUUAUUGUUUUAAAAUUAUUCUAUUAAUUAAUUUAUAUUAUUUUUAUAAUUGUUAUAAAAAUAAACAGGAAUUUAAAUAUUUACAUUUCUUUAAAGAUUUUAUAUGAUAAUAAUUUGAAAUAAAAACAUUAAUGUUAAGUCUUAUUAUAUAUAUAUAUAUAUAUAUAUGAAUAGCUCAUGCGUCCAGCCCUCAUGCUGCCAUGCAUCCAGCCUUUGAGGUAGUCCUAUUCCAGUCCCACAUCGGAAGCACAUGAAUUCCAUGUGCUUCAAGUGCUCUAUAAAUACCUUGCAAGUUGCAACAGGCAAACCAAGCUAAACAAGCCAACAAAUUGGGCUUGAAAGGCAUGGCCCAAGGGACAUGUUAAUAAGCUAAUGAUUUAUUUGUUUGGGCCUAGUUGUUUAAACCAACUAUGGGCUUAUAAUUAAUUAGAGUUUCAAAAGUUAUGGGUGUGGAAUGGGCUCAAUGGAUAAUGGGCCUUUUAAUUUUAAACAAAUUUUUGUAGAAUUUUAAAAAGAAGGCUUGGCCGGUUCGUGAAAAACCGGACGGUUUAUCCGGUUCAGCGGUUCGACCGGUGGUUUGAACGGUUCAAUGCCGGUUCGACCACAAAACGGUUCUUUGAGAUGGACCGAACCGGAAAGUUGACCGGUCGGCGGUUCGAUCGGUCGGACCGGCCGGUCCGGUCCGGUUUUUAAAACAUUGCAAAUUACAGAAAAUAUUCCAAAAAUUCUCGAAAAUUCACAUACUAAUAAAUUUGAAAUUAUACCCUAAUUUUAGACUUUUCCCACACUUCUAAUAAUUUUUAACAAUCCAAAACAAUUAAUUAUCAACUAAAAAUAAAUUCCCAAAAUUACAAAAAUUCCAAAAAAAAAUUCCAAAUCAUCCAAAAAUAUUCUUACAAUACCAAUAUUACCUACUUAACUCAAAAUGACAAGAAUUAUAAUUUUUUUUCAAUGAAAAAUGCAUUUAAUUAAAGUUUUAGGACUAGGUUCAUCUAUCACAGAUCUAAGAAUUUGACCGUUAAAAUCAAAAUCAGUCAUCGUAAAAUUGUUCCUUUCGUCGAGUAGAACACCUCCUCAAAAUUUGAGCCGAAACGGAUGACGUUCAGUCAUCCAAAUGACCAGUCAAAGUUCCUGAGAUUCUCCACAGUCCGCAAGUCUCCUUCUCUACCGUUAUUUUUUUUUCAAUCACCAGCUACUCAAGCCCAGUCCAAGGCCCAAUGAAGUAAUUCCCUUUGUUUUAACAACCAACAGUUCACGGCCCACCAUCCAACUUUUUGAUUUAUUAUUUUUUUUCUUUUAUUUAUUUUCAUUUGCUUAUUUUUUAUUUCCAAAUUCCCUUUUUUUUUAUAACACAAUUUAAUUUAUAAAACGCCAAUCCAAAAAUUUAAUUUUCUCAAUUUUAUUAACAAACAAUUUAAUUUAAUUUUUACAAAAUUAAUUCUAAUUAAUUUUACUAAUUCACUUUUUAUUUUUGUUUUUGUUUUUCGUUUUCAAAAAUUUUCAAUUUCUAAAAUUCUAAUAAAUUUUCUAUCCUAAGGUUGACGUGGUACAAAAUUUUCAACUCACCUAAUUGACCAACACAAUAAAUUCAAUUUCACCAAUUCAAAAUUAAUAUUUAUUCUUCAAAUACUUUUCAUUUUCACUUUUCAAUAACCACACAAAAGAAGACUUUUCAAACUAAAAUUCUCAACGGGGGCUAAAUUGUCCUGUCAAAAUUGUCUUGUCAUUACAAGAUGUGUGAUGACCCUUAUAAUUAAUGACUAGUUGUGAGACUACCAAUAUAAUUAAUGACUAGUUGUGAGACAUCGUGUGUUUGAUAGGAUCAACAUGCAAAAGAAUUGUUGAUAAGAAAGAAUCUCUGCAGCUCCAUUAAAAAAGUAGGUCAUGGUCUUUGAUUAUUCCAAGUGCUAACCACGGCUUAACUAUCAACCACUUAAAGCAAAGUCUUCUGGGCUUUAGCAAUAUUACAUACUUAGACUAGUUGUAUUUUAAUUAUAUUUGUCACAAAAAUUGAUAAUAUUACAUACUUAGACCCACUAAAAUCUUAAAGAAAUCUUCCCAAAAUAAUAUGAGAAUUUAAGAUUAAUAACAUAUCUUAAUUAGGUUAUUUAUGAGAAUUUGAGAGAAAAAUAAAUUUCCUCAUACACUUUAAAAAAAAAAAAAGACUUUUUCAUAGUAAUUAAAUAUAAGAAAGCUAUUUUUGAAGAUUAAAUUUAGUUUCAGAUUUUCUUAAAAUAUGAACAAUUACUGUCAGUAAUCAUUGGUUGGCCGCCGCCAAGUCUUCUGCAAUUGAUUAUGUUGUUGCCCACUUGCCCACAUGCAGCCUAAACGCGUAGACCAAGUCUUGGGAUCUCUUUCACGUAACAUAAAACCAGAAGCAACUGAGGAAAAGUGUAGCUAUAAGAAUCCCGAAGUGAUUCCUUGGAAUUCAUAGGUUUUGAAUUAAGUUGAAUUACUCUCUUUGCAUCUUCUGAUCAGGAAUUCAAACAUGGAGUGCAGGAAGUUCCAGAUUGCCAUUCUUUCAGCUCAAGGUCUUGAGAACGUCCGAGAAAUAUUCAGAAUGAAAGUCUACGCCCAGCUUUCAAUCCCCGGCAAUCCCCAAAUAAAGAGAGAAACCCCAGUGGACACAGAGGGGGAGACCAACCCCGCAUGGAACUCCACCAUUAGAUUCACAAUAGGCAAUCAGGCAGUCGAACACCAAGGCGUCGUGUUCGUCAUCAAGCUAUACUGCAGCCGGGCCCUAGGAGACCGGUACAUCGGUGAGGUGAGCCUAUCUUUCAAGGACCUGUUUGAUGGUGCCGCACCCACCAGCCAAGGCCGCAGCAGCGGUAUUGUAAGUUACCCAGUGAAAAAGGGUGGAGCGGAUUCACAGGGGGUAUUGAACUUUUCAUACUCUUUUGGGGAUAUAGUGAUGGUUAAGAAACCAUCCCUUUUCUCGACCAGAAAUUUGGCAGUUGCAGGUAUCUUUAUUGUGAGAGUGGUUUUAGAGGCAACCUUAGGAGCAAGCAUCGAUCUGGAUAUUCCAUUCUUUGGAGAAGAUGUUCCUAUAUGUUAACGAGCAUGAUAAGUAUAUCGAGCUCAAUCAAACUUGGUUUGAUAGGAUGUUUCAGAUUCGACCCUCUUUCUGUAAUUUACAUUUCUGCUACUUGUUCUGUAAAAGCUUAACCUUUAGUGUAUGGUGGGAGGUGUUGGUGUCAAUCACUUUAGUGUAUUUUUUACUAUUGAUUGUAUGUUUCUUACCUGUAGAGCAAUGUUUCUUCUCUUCAAAGAUCUCCAUGAUUCCAACAAGAAUCCCUUUUAGAAUGGUAUAAGAGAUCUUUUCCCUAAUCUUUAGUCCAUGUUUGGGGAGA
RNAcentral lists this long non-coding RNA (33747 nucleotides) under Vitis vinifera (wine grape). RNAcentral's name for it is "long non-coding RNA (VVIN_LNC005522)". Lineage: Eukaryota; Viridiplantae; Streptophyta; Magnoliopsida; Vitales; Vitaceae. The record is from RNAcentral.